GCUGGGCGUGGUGGAGUGCGCCUGUAGUCCAAGCUACUCAGGAGGCUGAGGCAGGAGAAUCGCUUGAACCCAGGAGGUGGAGGUUGCAGUGGGUGGAUAUCGUGCCACUGCACUCCAGCCUGAGCAAAAGAGUGAGACCCUGUCUCAA
RNAcentral lists this small RNA (148 nucleotides) under Pongo abelii (Sumatran orangutan). RNAcentral describes it as "Metazoan signal recognition particle RNA (ENSPPYG00000030660.1)". Lineage: Eukaryota; Metazoa; Chordata; Mammalia; Primates; Hominidae. The record is from Rfam by way of RNAcentral.